This 228-nucleotide ribosomal RNA is filed under the name Salmonella enterica. RNAcentral's name for it is "partial 16S ribosomal RNA". It matches the Rfam family "Bacterial small subunit ribosomal RNA", at positions 1 to 225 of the family's 1533-position model. RNAcentral also lists the same sequence under 1 other name. The record is from RNAcentral. Lineage: Bacteria; Pseudomonadati; Pseudomonadota; Gammaproteobacteria; Enterobacterales; Enterobacteriaceae.
AAAUUGAAGAGUUUGAUCAUGGCUCAGAUUGAACGCUGGCGGCAGGCCUAACACAUGCAAGUCGAACGGUAACAGGAAGCAGCUUGCUGCUUUGCUGACGAGUGGCGGACGGGUGAGUAAUGUCUGGGAAACUGCCUGAUGGAGGGGGAUAACUACUGGAAACGGUGGCUAAUACCGCAUAAUGUCGCAAGACCAAAGAGGGGGACCUUCGGGCCUCUUGCCAUCAGA